RNAcentral lists this ribosomal RNA (520 nucleotides) under uncultured bacterium. RNAcentral describes it as "partial 16S ribosomal RNA". It matches the Rfam family "Bacterial small subunit ribosomal RNA", at positions 28 to 523 of the family's 1533-position model. The record is from RNAcentral.
GACGAACGCUGGCGGCGCGCUUAACACAUGCAAGUCGAACGGAGAAUUUUAUUUCGGUAGAAUUCUUAGUGGCGAACGGGUGAGUAACGCGUAGACAACCUGCCUCUUAGAUGGGGACAACAUCGCGAAAGCGGUGCUAAUACCGAAUGAAGUGGAGCUUCCGCAUGGAAGCAUCACCAAAGGUGGCCUCUAUUUAUAAGCUACCACUGAGAGAUGGGUCUGCGUCUGAUUAGCUAGUUGGCGGGGUAAUGGCCCACCAAGGCGACGAUCAGUAGUCGGUCGGAGAGGAGGAGCGGCCACAUUGGGACUGAGGCGCGGCCCAAACUCCUACGGGAGGCAGCAGUGGGGAAUCUUCCGCAAUGGACGAAGGUCUGACGGAGCAACGCCGCGUGAGUGAAGAAGGUUUUCGGGUCGUAAAGCUCUGUUGUUUGAGACGAAUGUGCAGACUUUGAAUAAGGGUUUGUAAUGACGGUAUUAAACGAGAAAGCCACGGCUAACUACGUGCCAGCCGCCGCCGUAA